CUUGGCACAGUCAUGCUGGAUUUAAAGGUUUCCUGGGUGGAGAGAGUGAAGUAAGCUGUGAGUCUCUGACUUCAGCCUUUCUUCUGAGCCAGAUUCAGCCACAGAUCCCUCAGCAGCCACAUGCAGGUAUUGCUGGGAAACUGAACCUCUGGAUCCAGCUGUGUGGAGAAGCAUCAGGCUGUGAGUGCUCUGCCCCAAAUCAGUCCAUGGGGCUUUACCACCCCCACAUUUUGUGAAGCUGGGCCCUGUCCCCAGCACUCAGACACAUGGCACACAUCAGGCACUGCCAGCAGGACUGACUGGGUUUUGCCUUCUCUCCUGAGGCACCGCCGAGACCACAGAAUAAGGCUGGAGAGAAGCACCCUGGGUGAUGCCAAUUUCCCUGCUCGGUUUCCCAGCCAGGAACACCAGGAGGAUGUCCAGAGGAAGCUGCUGACACCUCUUCCCACCCCAGCUCCCUCACUGGGGCCAGUGGCAAUGCAGGCUGGUACUGCCCUGGCUCUGAACAGGCUGUUUCUCCCCCACACUUCUAUUAUACAAACUCAUGUAAGUUCAAUGGGUAAAACCUGAUGUUCAACUUUUGCACAAAGUCAGCAGAAUGAAAGAAAAAGAUGGAGAA
RNAcentral lists this long non-coding RNA (619 nucleotides) under Cyanistes caeruleus (blue tit). Its description in RNAcentral is "lncRNA (ENSCCEG00000007310.1)". Lineage: Eukaryota; Metazoa; Chordata; Aves; Passeriformes; Paridae. The record is from RNAcentral.